RNAcentral lists this ribosomal RNA (253 nucleotides) under uncultured bacterium. RNAcentral describes it as "partial 16S ribosomal RNA". It matches the Rfam family "Bacterial small subunit ribosomal RNA", at positions 524 to 776 of the family's 1533-position model. The record is from RNAcentral.
UACAGAGGAUGCAAGCGUUAUCCGGAAUGAUUGGGCGUAAAGCGUCUGUAGGUGGCUUUUUAAGUCCGCCGUCAAAUCCCAGGGCUCAACUCUGGACAGGCGGUGGAAACUACCAAGCUGGAGUACGGUAGGGGCAGAGGAAAUUUCCGGUGGAGCGGUGAAAUGCGUAGAGAUCGGAAAGAGCACCAACGGCGAAAGCACUCUGCUGGGCCGACACUAACAUUGAGAGACGAAAGCUAGGGGAGCGAAUGGG